Molecule: unclassified non-coding RNA, 241 nt
Filed under: fungal sp.
Lineage: Eukaryota; Fungi
Description: partial internal transcribed spacer region
Rfam family: Eukaryotic small subunit ribosomal RNA (bases 1-46)
Source: RNAcentral
AAGUCGUAACAAGGUAACCGUAGGUGAACCUGCGGUUGGAUCAUUAACAAAAUGAUAAGAGUCUGGAUUUAUCCAGGCUUUUAUAAACACCUGUGAACUGUAAUUGUAUCUGGUGGAUUUGGUUUUUGGGCUUUGGCCUUGGACCACGUCCACCAUCAAUAAUUUGAACUCUUACAUCUUGAAUUAGUUUUUAAUUUAUUAUAAAUUUAAACAACUUUUGACAACGGAUCUCUAGGCUCUC